Molecule: long non-coding RNA, 325 nt
Organism: Tachyglossus aculeatus (Australian echidna)
Lineage: Eukaryota; Metazoa; Chordata; Mammalia; Monotremata; Tachyglossidae
Exons: 3
Source: RefSeq, a predicted model, not a curated record
AAGAUCCACAGAAACCCCUGCAGUCAUUCCACAGAACGGCUAUGGACGAUCUUUGCAAACAUCCCAAAAAUGUUCUGCUCUGGAAGAAGCCGGGAAUUAAUUCUGAAAAGAAGACGAUAUUUCCACAAGUGUCAUAAAGAAAUCAAUAGUGAGCUACAUAUUAUUGGUUUCUUCAGAACUGUGAAGAAUUUGCAGUAAAUCCCUCCAAAGGUUGGAAUGGAUAAUGCGUUGGUUCCGUUUUCAUGUUGUUUAGUCUUUCAUCAGUACUGGCCGAGGUAUCUUCUUGGAACAAAAGUAUAAAUCAUGUGUUCAGACAGCUGAAGAA